UGUCCAGGCAGGACUCUCACAUGAAGCC
RNAcentral lists this non-coding RNA (28 nucleotides) under Homo sapiens (human). The record is from RNAcentral. Lineage: Eukaryota; Metazoa; Chordata; Mammalia; Primates; Hominidae.